This 637-nucleotide long non-coding RNA is filed under the name Mytilus galloprovincialis (Mediterranean mussel). Lineage: Eukaryota; Metazoa; Mollusca; Bivalvia; Mytilida; Mytilidae. The record is from RNAcentral.
GUCGUAUACAUUAAGGAAAUGUAAAAAAGAAGAUGUGGUAUGAUUGCCAAUGAGACAACUAUCCACAAAAGACCAAAAUGACACAGACAUUAACAACUAUAGGUCACCGUAUGGCCUUCAACAAUGAACAAAGCCCAUACCGCAUAGUCAGCUAUAACAGGCCCCGAUAAGACAAUGUAAAACAACUCAAACGAGAAAACUAACGGCCUUAUUUAUGUACAAAAUGAAAGCAAUUUGGAUUAAGAAUAUUGCAACUCAUCAUUUUGACAAAUAGUAAGAUAAAUAGUGAAUUAGCUAGCUUUGAAAUGAUAUUUACCAGACAAAUAAUCUUAAAAUUAUAACAAGUGUUUAAUUGAUUUGUAUAAUCGUGUUGCUUUAAACUUUGAAUACUCGAAAUUGAUAUUCACAACAACAUUUUUAUGUUAAAAUAUAUUUUUCAAACAUGUAAGUGGUAGUACAUGCGGGUCUAAAUAUGUUUUCACAAUAGAGAAAUAUGUGACCCCAAAAAAUAACGAAUUAAACAAUAAGGAAAAUGAGGUGCCAAAUUAAAAGUACAGAAAAUUGCACAAAAACAAUUUAAAACGAAACAUAAAACUUAAAGACUCGACGAAUACAUCAAUAAAAUCAAACACCAAAU